RNAcentral lists this long non-coding RNA (1085 nucleotides) under Sorghum bicolor (sorghum). RNAcentral's name for it is "long non-coding RNA (SBIC_LNC009936)". Lineage: Eukaryota; Viridiplantae; Streptophyta; Magnoliopsida; Poales; Poaceae. The record is from RNAcentral.
AUGCCUGGAACAUCGGCGUCGAUGUUUGCUGGGUCCCCAACUGUAUAAGGCGCCAAGCUAACCUCUCCAUGCUUUGUCCAAAUCAAGUAAUCCAUCAUAAAUCCUCGGGAGACUAGAUGAGAAAUGAUUGCUUCGGUAUCUUCAAACAGAACAAUAUUUCUGUAGUCGUAGCAUGGACAAUAUAUGUGCUUCGUCUUUGUUCUCAAAGCAUAGUUGUUAGCGGCAUCAACAAACCAAUGCACCUCGGGUAUAUAUGAUGGAUCUAGUCUUGAUAAGUUACAUCCAUAAGGACCUCUCCAUCAUGAGCUGUGGAAAAAUUAGUAAAUUAAUUGAUCUCAAUGCAAAACAAGUAUGAAAUAUUGUCUAGGAAUAUUUGUUAUCAAAAAUAAAGAACACCUAACAACUAAAUCAAAUUGAAAAAAUAAAACAACUAUCAAAAAUAAAGACAAAACCCUAAGUAAUAAUUCAAAAAAGAACACCUAACAACUAAAGCAAAUGAACAAGGUAGAAAAGCACUUUUGAUGGAAACUAAAUAUAUAUCUUGAUUCACUAAAAUAAAUUUUAGAAGGAAACAUAGAAAUGGUGAGAAGAAGGGCAACAUCUUAAGCAACCUCAUACAUGAAAAAUGAAUAUUGCAUAAUUAAAUCAAAUUUACAUAAAAAAUAACAUCCUAAACAAUAUAAUUUAAAAAACUAAAAAGAAAAUCUAUCUUUCUCUCUCUUCCCAAGCAUGGAAACACCAUUCAUGGAAACCACUACAUAUAUAUUUCUUGGAUUCACUAAUUAGAGAAGGAAACAAGGAAAUGGGGAGAGGAGAGACAUCAUCUAACCAUCUGAAGCAACCUCAUUUGAGCAAAUAUAGUGCAUACCUAGCUAGUCUACUCUCUCCCUCUCAUGGUGAAACCCUAGAUCCAAAAAGUAGCUCAAUUGAGCAAGAGGGCACAAUAAGAGGCAUUAGAGACAUGAACUAACCUUUCUUAGCCCCCUCCUUCCAAGAAAAGAAGAUCAAAACCUCCCUCCUUGUAUUUUGGAAAAUUUAGACCUCUAAGAUGGCCUCCAAAGGAAGGUGGCUGCGAGUAACAGUUC